UACGUUCAUCCUACAAAAGGACGGAAGUAGCACUAUGCGAAGGAACGCACU
Molecule: non-coding RNA, 51 nt
Submitted as: unclassified sequences
Source: Rfam